This is a long non-coding RNA of Hippocampus comes (tiger tail seahorse), 407 nucleotides long. RefSeq lists it as uncharacterized. The transcript is spliced from 2 exons. The record is from RefSeq and is a predicted model, not a curated record. NCBI's taxonomy places the organism in Eukaryota, Metazoa, Chordata, Actinopteri, Syngnathiformes, Syngnathidae.
UUUUCUUUCUUUUCCAAAGUAGUCGUUUCCAUCCACCUUCCCCAUGCACCUUGUUUUUGGUUUCACUUUGGCACAAAAGAAGACAGACAGGUUUAGUGCUGGCAGCGGACGAUCGUUGUAUUUGCACGCCACUGUUGGCUUGGUCGUCUUCGGUGGCCGCACAACAAAUCAGACACGCUAUUGUGAUGCCCCAGCAUGUGGAGAGCCACCGUCGUGACAUUCAAUCGUUUAUCGGACGGUAUCAAAUGAGAAAAACUGGCUAAGCUGACCGCAAAUCCGCGCCUCAAUGUUCCCAUGCAGGUAUCACUGACUAGGCCACACCCCUCAAAGGCACGCUCCAACGCCGCAGGACAUAGGAAUGAUCCUUUGCUCAAAUCCACUUAUUUCAUGACUUUUCUCGUUUUUUU